This 253-nucleotide ribosomal RNA is filed under the name uncultured bacterium. RNAcentral describes it as "partial 16S ribosomal RNA". It matches the Rfam family "Bacterial small subunit ribosomal RNA", at positions 524 to 776 of the family's 1533-position model. The record is from RNAcentral.
UACGUAGGGGGCAAGCGUUGUCCGGAUUUAUUGGGCGUAAAGAGCGUGUAGGCGGCCAUACAGGUCCGUUGUGAAAACUGGAGGCUUAACCUCCAGACGUCGAUGGAAACCGUAUGGCUAGAGUCCGGAAGAGGAGGGUGGAAUUCCUGGUGUAGCGGUGAAAUGCGCAGAUAUCAGGAAGAACACCCGUGGCGAAGGCGGGUCUCUGGGCCGAUACUGACGCUGAGGAGCGAAAGCGUGGGGAGCGAACAGG